RNAcentral lists this ribosomal RNA (587 nucleotides) under uncultured bacterium. Its description in RNAcentral is "partial 16S ribosomal RNA". It matches the Rfam family "Bacterial small subunit ribosomal RNA", at positions 355 to 1375 of the family's 1533-position model. The record is from RNAcentral.
UGGGGAAUUUUGGACAAUGGGCGAAAGCCUGAUCCAGCAAUGCCGCGUGUGUGAAGAAGGCCUUCGGGUUGUAAAGCACUUUUGUCCGGAAAGAAAUCCUUGGCUCUAAUACAGUCGGGGGAUGACGGUACCGGAAGAAUAAGCACCGGCUAACUAUGUGCCAGCAGCCGCGGUAAUACGUAGGGUGCAAGCGUUAAUCGGAAUUACUGGGCGUAAAGCGUGCGCAGGCGGUUUGCUAAGACCGAUGUGAAAUCCCCGGGCUCAACCUGGGAACUGCAUUGGUGACUGGCAGGCUAGAGUAUGGCAGAGGGGGGUAGAAUUCCACGUGUAGCAGUGAAAUGCGUAGAGAUGUGGAGGAAUACCGAUGGCGAAGGCAGCCCCCUGGGCCAAUACUGACGCUCAUGCACGAAAGCGUGGGGAGCAAACAGGAUUAGAUACCCUGGUAGUCCACGCCCUAAACGAUGUCAACUAGUUGUUGGGGAUUCAUUUCCUUAGUAACGUAGCUAACGCGUGAAGUUGACCGCCUGGGGGAGUACGGUCGCAAAGAUUAAAACUCAAAUGAAUUGACGGGGUCAUAGCUGUUUCCU